Molecule: ribosomal RNA, 464 nt
Filed under: uncultured bacterium
Lineage: Bacteria
Description: partial 16S ribosomal RNA
Rfam family: Bacterial small subunit ribosomal RNA
Source: RNAcentral
GACGAACGCUGGCGGCGUGCUUAACACAUGCAAGUCGAACGGUAAGGCCCCAGCUUGCUGGGGUACACGAGUGGCGAACGGGUGAGUAACACGUGGGUGACCUGCCCCGCACUUCGGGAUAAGCCUGGGAAACUGGGUCUAAUACCGGAUAGGACCGCACCGUGAGGGUGUGGUGGAAAGUUUUUCGGUGUGGGAUGAGCCCGCGGCCUAUCAGCUUGUUGGUGGGGUAAUGGCCUACCAAGGCGGCGACGGGUAGCCGGCCUGAGAGGGUGGACGGCCACAUUGGGACUGAGACACGGCCCAGACUCCUACGGGAGGCAGCAGUGGGGAAUAUUGCACAAUGGGCGGAAGCCUGAUGCAGCGACGCCGCGUGGGGGAUGACGGCCUUCGGGUUGUAAACUCCUUUCACCAUCGACGAAGGUUUUCUGACGGUAGAUGGAGAAGAAGCACCGGCUAACUACGUG